Molecule: non-coding RNA, 76 nt
Organism: Podarcis lilfordi (Lilford's wall lizard)
Lineage: Eukaryota; Metazoa; Chordata; Lepidosauria; Squamata; Lacertidae
Source: the annotation of a GenBank genome assembly
GGGAUAGCUCAGUUGGUAGAGCUUGAGAUUCCUAAUCUCAGGGUUGUGGGUUCAAGCCUGGCACGGGGUUGGACCA